UGCAUCACAAAAUGGGGUACUUGAGAC
This 27-nucleotide non-coding RNA is filed under the name Rattus norvegicus (Norway rat). Lineage: Eukaryota; Metazoa; Chordata; Mammalia; Rodentia; Muridae. The record is from RNAcentral.